AGUAACGCAAGAUGACAAGCUGGUGAACAUAUAUAUUUUUUCCCUGUACAACUACUCUCCAUAAUGCAUAAUACAUAAUUCAAAUUCUAUAAGUACAACAACUUCAUUACAAAAUACAAGUUCAAUAAUACAUAAACUUGUAAUUCAAACUCCAUAAGUACUAAAACAACAAAUAUUCAAUUCAUACAUUGAGUUUUAAAGUGUUUGAUCCUUACAUACAUUCACUUCAUGAUCCUUACAACAAACACAACGAACAAAGCACAUGAAAUGAAAAUGAUAGUUUUCAAUUUUUUGAUUUUCUUCUCCAAAAGCAUAACUUUUCCAGCUUCUUGGGCUGAAAUAAAUUUCAUUUCUUCAAACAAAAUUUUCAGAUUGUCCCUUUCAGCUUUUUCCAUUCCAUCGACAAUCUGUUUCAAUUUGUUUCUUUCAACCUUCAUAACAUCCAAUUUAC
This 451-nucleotide long non-coding RNA is filed under the name Solanum tuberosum (potato). RNAcentral's name for it is "long non-coding RNA (STUB_LNC002591)". Lineage: Eukaryota; Viridiplantae; Streptophyta; Magnoliopsida; Solanales; Solanaceae. The record is from RNAcentral.